RNAcentral lists this ribosomal RNA (400 nucleotides) under uncultured bacterium. RNAcentral describes it as "bacterial SSU rRNA". It matches the Rfam family "Bacterial small subunit ribosomal RNA", at positions 355 to 747 of the family's 1533-position model. The record is from RNAcentral.
UGGGGAAUAUUGGGCAAUGGGCGCAAGCCUGACCCAGCCACGCCGCGUGAGUGAUGAAGGCCUUCGGGUCGUAAAGCUCUGUGGGGAGGGAAGAAAAGCUACGUGCUAAUACCACGGAGUCUUGACGGUACCUCCUUAGCAAGCACCGGCUAACCACGUGCCAGCAGCCGCGGUAAUACGUGGGGUGCAAACGUUGCUCGGAAUUAUUGGGCGUAAAGCGCACGUAGGCGGCUCUCUAAGUCGCAUGUGAAAGCCCCAGGCUUAACCUGGGAAGUGCAUGCGAUACUGGAAAGCUUGAGUACUAGAGGGGGUCGCGGAAUUCCCGGUGUAGAGGUGAAAUUCGUAGAUAUCGGGAGGAACACCAGCGGCGAAGGCGGCGACCUGGAUAGAUACUGACGCU